This 468-nucleotide ribosomal RNA is filed under the name uncultured bacterium. Its description in RNAcentral is "partial 16S ribosomal RNA". It matches the Rfam family "Bacterial small subunit ribosomal RNA", at positions 28 to 507 of the family's 1533-position model. The record is from RNAcentral.
GACGAACGCUGGCGGCGUGCUUAACACAUGCAAGUCGAACGGAAAGGCCCUGCUUUUGUGGGGUGCUCGCGUGGCGAACGGGUGAGUUACACGUGAGUCACCUGCCCUUUACUUUGUGAUAUCUUCAGGAAACUGGGGCUAAUACCUGAUAGGUGCUCCUGCUGCAUGGUGGGCGUUGGAAAGUUUCGGCGGUUGGGGAUGGACUCGCGGCUUAUCAGCUUGUUGGUGGGGUAGUGGCUUACCAAGGCUUUGACGGGUAGCCGGCCUGUGAGGGUGACCGGGCACAAUGGGACUGAGGUACGGAGCAGAGGGCAACGGGAGGCAGCAGUGGGGAAUAUUACACAAUGGGCGGAAGCGUGAUGAAGAAACGCCGCGUGCGGAAUGAAGGCCUUGGGGUUGUAAACAGCAUUAGCCUGAGACGAAGCGUGAGUGACGGUAAUGGGUAAAGAAGCACCGGCUAACUACGUG